CACCCCUGACCCGAAGGUAGACACUCAACCACUGAGCCACCCAGAUCACUCAUCUGGAAAAAUGAGCUGGCAUAUCAUGAGGAAUUCAGCCCUCUGAAGAGGAACUUAUCCCAAGGAACUGAAGCAUCUUGCCAAUCAAACUAAUUUGCCAGGAACAUGCAUGAACCACCUUGGAAGUUGUGAUAAUUUUAUGUGUUAAGUUGACUGGAUCAGAAGAUCUGAGAUACUCAGUCAAGCAUUACUUCUAGGUGUGUCUAAUGGGUGUUUCUGAAUGAGAUUAGCAUUUGAAUUGGUGGUCUCAGUAAAUUACUCUGCCCUCACCAAUGUGGAUGGGGAUCAUCCAAUCUGUUGAAGUUCUAAAUAGAACAAGACAGCAGAAGAAGGAGAAAAUUGCCCUUUUCUGCCUUAUUACUUAAGCUUGGACAUCUGGUCUCAACUUUUUCUGCCCUUAAACUGGGAUUUACAUCAUUAGCUCUCCUGGUUCUCAGGCAGUUGGACUGGGUCUGAAUUAUACCACUGGCUUUCAACAGGCUCCUGCUUACAGAUAGCAGAUUAUAGAGCUUCUUUGCCCCACAAACAUGUGAGCCAAUUUAUCAUAAUAAAUCUCCUUGUAUAGUC
Long non-coding RNA from Canis lupus familiaris (dog), 618 nucleotides. RefSeq lists it as uncharacterized. NCBI's taxonomy places the organism in Eukaryota, Metazoa, Chordata, Mammalia, Carnivora, Canidae. The transcript has 2 exons. The record is from RefSeq and is a predicted model, not a curated record.